RNAcentral lists this long non-coding RNA (810 nucleotides) under Equus caballus (horse). RNAcentral's name for it is "lncRNA (ENSECAG00000046675.1)". The record is from RNAcentral. Lineage: Eukaryota; Metazoa; Chordata; Mammalia; Perissodactyla; Equidae.
CCAAAACUUUCCUGCAGCUGCUGUGCCUGUCUCUGCGCUGCAAUGGCGGGCGAAUUUUAAGGGCGUAAUUAGCUUUUGGUGAGGAAAAAAAAGGCUUUUUUGGAGAUAGUUACCUAAGAGAGGGUCUCUUCAUUGUUUAGAUAUUUAAUGACCUUGGAUUAUUUCCUUUUUCUCAUAGCAGCUGGGAUUACAAAUUUUGGAUAAAGUGCCUCAUCAGCCUUUGGCAUCUCAACACUCUGCUAUCUACAAACGAGGCACUUUCCUCCCUCUCCCAGAGUAAUGGAGUGCUCUGCUCCAGAAACAAAAACCAAGUAAAUGCUUCCACAUGCUUCCAUCCUCUUUCUUGCACUUGUUAAAGCUCUCAUCUGGGAUGCCAGUCUGACUCUAGGCCACAGGAAUAGCUGGGCCAUGAACCACACCAGAAGUGCGUCAGCACUGACACGCAUUGUCAGGAACACCGGUGACCCGAGGCUGCCCACGCAGACACAGGACCAUUUUGACGACGACUGAUAGAAGAAGCAAAGGCAAGAUCAUUGAAGUGCCUGGACAGCACGCACCGUUAGUGGCUGGAUCCUCUCGCCUCCCAUCUUGUGAAACCACCGUUACAUGUAACCCCAGCAUGUGUUUGCCAGAUGCUUUUUGAUCCUUGAGUUUGUUGCCUGGAUAGUGCAUGCAGUCCCUAACACAGAAUGUAUUUAAAAUACGGUAAAUGGGUCAUCCCCAUACUAAUUCUGCACAAAUUCUGCUAAAGGGCGAAAAACCACCACAUUAAGAGAUAUAGAAGAAGAGAGAUUCCUUCACCAAAUGAAG